This 145-nucleotide unclassified non-coding RNA is filed under the name uncultured Mycosphaerella. Its description in RNAcentral is "sequence contains ITS1". Lineage: Eukaryota; Fungi; Ascomycota; Dothideomycetes; Mycosphaerellales; Mycosphaerellaceae. The record is from RNAcentral.
CUGAGUGAGGGCGAAAGCCCGACCUCCAACCCUUUGUGAACCAACUCUGUUGCUUCGGGGGCGACCCCGCCGUUUCGGCGACGGCGCCCCCGGAGGUCAUCAAACACUGCAUCUUUGCGUCGGAGUCUUAAAGUAAAUUUAAACA